This 405-nucleotide ribosomal RNA is filed under the name uncultured bacterium. Its description in RNAcentral is "partial 16S ribosomal RNA". It matches the Rfam family "Bacterial small subunit ribosomal RNA", at positions 29 to 526 of the family's 1533-position model. The record is from RNAcentral.
AUUGAACGCUGGCGGCAGGCUUAACACAUGCAAGUCGAGCGAGCGGCGGACGGGUGAGUAAUGUCUGGGAAACUGCCUGAUGGAGGGGGAUAACUACUGGAAACGGUAGCUAAUACCGCAUACCAUCAGAUGUGCCCAGAUGGGAUUAGCUAGUAGGUGGGGUAAUGGCUCACCUAGGCGACGAUCCCUAGCUGGUCUGAGAGGAUGACCAGCCACACGGGAAGUGAAACAGGGUCCAGACUCCUACGAGAGGCAGCAGGGGGGAAUAUUGCACAAUGGGCGCAAGACUGAUGCAGCCAGGCCGGGUGUGUGAAGAAGGCCUGCGGGUUGUAAAGCACUGUCAGCGAGGAGGCGUUACUCGCAGAAGAAGCACCGGCUAACUCCGUGCCAGCAGCCGGGUAAUUC